RNAcentral lists this transfer RNA (71 nucleotides) under Neotoma lepida (desert woodrat). It matches the Rfam family "tRNA". Rfam says of the family: Transfer RNA (tRNA) molecules are approximately 80 nucleotides in length. Lineage: Eukaryota; Metazoa; Chordata; Mammalia; Rodentia; Cricetidae. The record is from Rfam by way of RNAcentral.
GGCAUUGUGGCUCGGUGGUAGAGCAUUUGCCUAGCACGGGCAAACCCCUGGCUUCAAUUCCAGCACUGCCA